UACGGAGGAUCCAAGCGUUAUCCGGAUUUAUUGGGUUUAAAGGGAGCGUAGGCGGCCUAUUAAGUCAGGGGUGAAAGACUGUGGCUCAACCAUCGCAGUGCCUUUGAUACUGGUAGACUUGAAUGUAGUUGAGGUAGGCGGAAUGUGACAAGUAGCGGUGAAAUGCAUAGAUAUGUCACAGAACACCGAUUGCGAAGGCAGCUUACUAAGCUAUAAUUGACGCUGAGGCUCGAAAGCGUGGGGAUCAAACAGG
This 253-nucleotide ribosomal RNA is filed under the name uncultured bacterium. Its description in RNAcentral is "partial 16S ribosomal RNA". It matches the Rfam family "Bacterial small subunit ribosomal RNA", at positions 524 to 776 of the family's 1533-position model. The record is from RNAcentral.